RNAcentral lists this ribosomal RNA (459 nucleotides) under uncultured bacterium. Its description in RNAcentral is "partial 16S ribosomal RNA". It matches the Rfam family "Bacterial small subunit ribosomal RNA", at positions 338 to 795 of the family's 1533-position model. The record is from RNAcentral.
CCUACGGGUGGCAGCAGUGAGGAAUAUUGGUCAAUGGCCGGAAGGCUGAACCAGCCAAGCCGCGUGAAGGACGAAGGUGCCAAGCAUUGUAAACUUCUUUUGUCAAGGGACAAAAUCAGGCGCGAGAGCCUGACCGAGGGGACUUGAAUAAAAAGCAUCGGCUAACUCCGUGCCAGCAGCCGCGGUAAUACGGAGGAUGCGAGGGUGAUCCGGAUUGAUUGGGGUAAAGGGGCGGUUAGGCGGACUGUUAAGUCAGCGGUAAAAGCGCGGGGCCCAACCCCGGCGAGCCGUUGAGACUGGCUGUCUAGAGAAGUCGAGGGGUAUGCGGAAUGCGCGGUGUAGCAGUGAAAUGCUUAGAUAUUGCGCAGAACACCGAUUGCGAAGGCAGCAUACCGGCGGCGAUCUGACGCUGAGGCACGAAGGCGUGGGUAUCGAACGGGAUUAGAUACCCGAGUAGUC